RNAcentral lists this ribosomal RNA (500 nucleotides) under uncultured Glomeromycotina. Its description in RNAcentral is "partial small subunit ribosomal RNA". It matches the Rfam family "Eukaryotic small subunit ribosomal RNA", at positions 591 to 1092 of the family's 1831-position model. The record is from RNAcentral. Lineage: Eukaryota; Fungi; Glomeromycota.
CCAAUAGCGUAUAUUAAAGUUGUUGCAGUUAAAAAGCUCGUAGUUGAAUUUCGGGAUCAAUAUGUCGGUCGUGCCUUCGGUACGUACUGGUAUCAUUGGUUUCUCCUUUCUGACGAACCAUGAUGUCAUUAAUUUGGUGUUAUGGGGAGUUAGGACUGUUACUUUGAAAAAAUUAGAGUGUUUAAAGCAGGCUUUAGCUUGAAUACAUUAGCAUGGAAUAAUGAAAUAGGACGUUCGAACCUAUUUUGUUGGUUUCUAGGAUCAACGUAAUGAUUAAUAGGGAUAGUUGGGGGCAUUAGUAUUCAAUUGUCAGAGGUGAAAUUCUUGGAUUUAUUGAAGACUAACUACUGCGAAAGCAGUUGCCAAGGAUGUUUUCAUUAAUCAAGAACGAAAGUUAGGGGAUCGAAGACGAUCAGAUACCGUCGUAGUCUUAACCAUAAACUAUGCCGACUAGGGAUCGGAUGAUGUUAAUUUUUUAAUGGCUCAUUCGGCGCCUUACG